UGGGGAAUAUUGGACAAUGGGGGCAACCCUGAUCCAGCAAUGCCGCGUGUGUGAAGAAGGUCUUCGGAUUGUAAAGCACUUUCGACGGGGACGAUGAUGACGGUACCCGUAGAAGAAGCCCCGGCUAACUUCGUGCCAGCAGCCGCGGUAAUACGAAGGGGGCUAGCGUUGCUCGGAAUGACUGGGCGUAAAGGGCGUGUAGGCGGUUUACACAGUCAGAUGUGAAAUCCCCGGGCUUAACCUGGGAGCUGCAUUUGAUACGUGUAGACUAGAGUGUGAGAGAGGGUUGUGGAAUUCCCAGUGUAGAGGUGAAAUUCGUAGAUAUUGGGAAGAACACCGGUGGCGAAGGCGGCAACCUGGCUCAUGACUGACGCUGAGGCGCGAAAGCGUGGGGAGCAAACAGGAUUAGAUACCCUGGUAGUCCACGCUGUAAACGAUGUGUGCUAGAUGUUGGGUAACUUUGUUAUUCAGUGUCGCAGUUAACGCGUUAAGCACACCGCCUGGGGA
This 507-nucleotide ribosomal RNA is filed under the name uncultured bacterium. Its description in RNAcentral is "partial 16S ribosomal RNA". It matches the Rfam family "Bacterial small subunit ribosomal RNA", at positions 355 to 879 of the family's 1533-position model. The record is from RNAcentral.